RNAcentral lists this ribosomal RNA (332 nucleotides) under uncultured Rhodocyclaceae bacterium. Its description in RNAcentral is "bacterial SSU rRNA". It matches the Rfam family "Bacterial small subunit ribosomal RNA", at positions 568 to 898 of the family's 1533-position model. Lineage: Bacteria; Pseudomonadati; Pseudomonadota; Betaproteobacteria; Rhodocyclales; Rhodocyclaceae. The record is from RNAcentral.
UGCGCAGGCGGAUUGUUAAGCAAGAUGUGAAAUCCCCGGGCUUAACCUGGGAAUGGCAUUUUGAACUGGCAGUCUAGAGUGUGUCAGAGGGGGGUGGAAUUCCACGUGUAGCAGUGAAAUGCGUAGAUAUGUGGAGGAACACCAAUGGCGAAGGCAGCCCCCUGGGAUAACACUGACGCUCAUGUACGAAAGCGUGGGUAGCAAACAGGAUUAGAUACCCUGGUAGUCCACGCCCUAAACGAUGUCAACUGGUUGUUGGGGGAGUGAAAUCCCUUAGUAACGAAGCUAACGCGUGAAGUUGACCGCCUGGGGAGUACGGUCGCAAGAUUAAA